AGCAGCCGCGGUAAUUCCAGCUCCAAUAGCGUAUAUUAAAGUUGUUGCAGUUAAAAAGCUCGUAGUUGAAUUUCGGGGUUAGUAGGCUGGUCGUGCCACUGGUAUGUACUGGUCUCACUGAUUCCUCCUUCCUGAUGAGCUGUAAUGCCAUUAAUUUGGUGUUGCAGGGAAUCUGGACUGUUACUUUGAAAAAAUUAGAGUGUUUAAAGCAGGCUAACGCUUGAAUACAUUAGCAUGGAAUAAUGAAAUAGGACGUUCGAUCCUAUUUUGUUGGUUUCUAGGAUUGACGUAAUGAUUAAUAGGGAUAGUUGGGGGCAUUAGUAUUCAAUUGUCAGAGGUGAAAUUCUUGGAUUUAUUGAAGACUAACUACUGCGAAAGCAUUUGCCAAGGAUGUUUUCAUUAAUCAAGAACGAAAGUUAGGGGAUCGAAGACGAUCAGAUACCGUCGUAGUCUUAACCAUAAACUAUGCCGACUAGGGAUCGGAUGAUGUUAAUUUUUAAUGACUCAGUUUG
RNAcentral lists this ribosomal RNA (512 nucleotides) under uncultured Glomus. RNAcentral's name for it is "SSU rRNA". It matches the Rfam family "Eukaryotic small subunit ribosomal RNA", at positions 569 to 1083 of the family's 1831-position model. The record is from RNAcentral. Lineage: Eukaryota; Fungi; Glomeromycota; Glomeromycetes; Glomerales; Glomeraceae.